Osmia bicornis bicornis is the source of this 1096-nucleotide long non-coding RNA. RefSeq lists it as uncharacterized. The record is from RefSeq and is a predicted model, not a curated record. The transcript is spliced from 2 exons. NCBI's taxonomy places the organism in Eukaryota, Metazoa, Arthropoda, Insecta, Hymenoptera, Megachilidae.
CGAAUAGGUGCUGAGAGCACCGUUGAUGAAGGUGGUGGUGGAUCAAGCCAAGGUGGAAAUGGAACCAACACCGAUCCUGGUUUCGCGGAUUACCACGUGUUAGCCUGAUCCACUACCACCAGAGACUAAAACACUUCCUUCCGGCUUUCCUUCGGGAACUACUUUGAUACCUGAUAAUAACUAAACGGCUGCUUAUCUUCUUCACUCACUUUUUACCACAUUAAUUACCGAUGGAUAAGCACCACUAAGGACAAAUUUUUAGUCGUUAGGGUGAAACGAUAACUGUUAGUUGACGAUUAUAAUUACAGUUAGUUAACGAGUGAUUGCAUUGUUAAUAGAGGUUACCAUUCUCUGAUAGCACAGGUAACUCAUGUAAAUCAAUGGUCAAGGUUCUGCGGAGAUAUGAAUAAUCCGGUUAACCCGCUAUCUCCUCGGUUACAGUAAAUUGCGACGUUGAACCUUAGAAAGACUAAGAAGUGGGGUGCGUCGAGCCUCCCAGUUGCAAAAUAGAUUGAUAUUUUGAUUUUAUUGCCAUAAUUUGCCAUAACUCCAUUAAUUGGAAAGAUAUGAUAAUAAAAUUUAAAGAAUAUGUGUAGGAAGAAAUCUGAAUGUAUUAUAAAAAAAGAGUGGUUGAUACUGAAGAUCGAAGAAUUUAGAAUUAUAAUAGAAAUUUCUGUAUCUCCAGAAUCUGUAUCUACGCAGUUAAAAUGGAUAUUUUAUAAAGAAUCGGACCACGUGGCCACAUGUUAUUGGCGUGAGUGGGAGUGACUAAAAGCAACCCACACCCCUGCGCCUCGACACAGUGGAUGGUACCGCGAGCAUCGUACGCAGGUCUAACCCCUUGGGAAGCUUGAAGAGGAGACCAAUGAGGUUCACGCGGAACCUCCUCGUUGCUAGUGUUCGAAAUUAGUUUGACGAGUGAAACUACGGUGUUACUAAAAAUACCAGCUAUGGCGUAGGUGGAACAACAGAUAAACAGCAGAGUGUAUACUUUACUGGUGUGUUAAUUAUACUUCAUUAAUAUUGGAUAGACUAAUCUCUAAUGUAACUUAAACGCAAAAUUAACAGAAUAAAAGAAAUCUUUUUAUUCAGAGAA